Molecule: transfer RNA, 78 nt
Filed under: Caudoviricetes sp.
Lineage: Duplodnaviria; Heunggongvirae; Uroviricota; Caudoviricetes
Description: tRNA-Cys
Rfam family: tRNA
About the family: Transfer RNA (tRNA) molecules are approximately 80 nucleotides in length. Their secondary structure includes four short double-helical elements and three loops (D, anti-codon, and T loops).
Source: RNAcentral
GCACGUCGGCCCGGACGGUUAAGGAGCAGUCUGCAAAACUGUUAUUUAAAGUGGGUUCGACUCCCACGGCGUGCUCCA